Molecule: non-coding RNA, 73 nt
Organism: Ictidomys tridecemlineatus (thirteen-lined ground squirrel)
Lineage: Eukaryota; Metazoa; Chordata; Mammalia; Rodentia; Sciuridae
Source: Rfam
AGGGAUAUAGCUCAGUUGGUAGAGUGCUUGCCUUGCAUGCCUAAGGCCCUGGGUUCAAUCCCCAGCACCACAA